CACUUUUAGCCAUCAAGGUCUUCGGCCCGAGUAUUGUCACAAGAAGAACGAGGUUUAUGAUUAUUUACCAAAUUUGUGGAUUAGAAAGAAAAAUCUGCUUUUUAUUGAAAGAGUGGUUGUUACACUAUUGGUAGCACGUCCCUAGGUUGUCUGAGUUCUAGGGUCGUUAUAGUGGUGUUCCAUCUAGCUGCUUUAAGUAGUAGGUCCC
RNAcentral lists this long non-coding RNA (208 nucleotides) under Elaeis guineensis (African oil palm). RNAcentral's name for it is "long non-coding RNA (EGUI_LNC009535)". Lineage: Eukaryota; Viridiplantae; Streptophyta; Magnoliopsida; Arecales; Arecaceae. The record is from RNAcentral.